RNAcentral lists this ribosomal RNA (1313 nucleotides) under Gelanor sp. GH868. RNAcentral describes it as "eukaryotic LSU rRNA". It matches the Rfam family "Eukaryotic large subunit ribosomal RNA", at positions 662 to 1861 of the family's 3401-position model. The record is from RNAcentral. Lineage: Eukaryota; Metazoa; Arthropoda; Arachnida; Araneae; Mimetidae.
CGGACCAAGGAGUCUAACAUGUGUGCAAGUCAAUGGGACUCGAAUAAGCCCAGAGGCGAAACGAAAGUAAUGGUCCGCUCAGGGACCAAGCCGAGAUCCCCUCUCCUUCGCGGGAGGCGGCGCACCGGCCACCCCCUCGUUCCGAUUCAUCGGAUGGGGGGAGUGUGAGCACACACGUUGGGACCCGAAAGAUGGUGAACUAUGCUCGGGCAGGUUGAGGACAGAGGAAACUCUGGUGGAGGACCGCAGCGGUUCUGACGUGCAAAUCGAUCGUCAGACCCGAGUAUAGGGGCGGAAGACUAAUCGAACCAUCUAGUAGCUGGUUCCCUCCGAAGUUUCCCUCAGGAUAGCUGGCGCUCGGAGAACUCAGUCUCAUCCGGUAAAGCGAAUGAUUAGAGGCCUUGGGGCCGAAACGACCUCAACCUAUUCUCAAACUUUAAAUGGGUGAGAAGUCCGCCUCGCAUGACUUGGAGGCCGGACGUCUGGAUGAGAGUGCCCAGUGGGCCACUUUUGGUAAGCAGAACUGGCGCUGUGGGAUGAACCAAACGCCGGGUUAAGGCGCCCGAUGCGAGACGCUCAUGAGACCCCAGGAAAGGUGUUGGUUGCUCUAGACAGCAGGACGGUGGUCAUGGAAGUCGAAACCCGCUAAGGAGUGUGUAACAACUCACCUGCCGAAGCAACUAGCCCUGAAAAUGGAUGGCGCUCCAGCGUCGAGCCUAUACCCGGCCGCCGCGGCAGAGCUCCUAUUGAUAUGGGAGACUUAUGUCCCGGUGAGUAGGAGGGUCGCAUCGGCGAGCGUUGAAGGUGCCGGGCGUGAGCCCGCCUGGAGCCGCCGAUGGUGCAGAUCUUGGUGGUAGUAGCAAAUACUCAAGUGAGAACCUUGAGGACUGAAGGUGGAGAAGGGUUCCAUGUGAACAGCAGUUGAACAUGGGUCAGUCGGUCCUAAGGGAUCGGAGAAAUCCGUUCCGAAGCGGGACAUUGAAGCUACGCGGAAUUCAGCGUGAUUCUGCUCGUCCCGCUCCUGAUCGACAGGGAAUGGGGUUAAUAUUCCCCAACCCGGACACGGAGAUAGAGCCCUCGGGCUCAAGUGCGGUAACGCAACCGAACUCGGAGACGGCGACGGAGGACCCGGGGAAGAGUUAUCUUUUCUUUGUAAGGGUUCGUGUCCCUGGAAUCGGUUCAUCCGGAGAUAGGGACGCUGUACCCGUAAAAGCUCCGCGGCUCUUGCGGAGUCCGGUGCGCCUCUGCCGCCCCUUGCAAAUCCGAGGGAGAGAGUGUGAUUUUCGUGCCGGACCGUACCCAUAUCCGCAGCA